GUGAAUGUAUGUGUGGUCACACAAACAGGGGGAGUGUCUGCCCCCUGUCAGCAACAGGCCUUGUGCUGAAGGGGACACCAUGCCGGCCCAUGGCCCUGAAGCCCUUUUCACUACCAGUGAGACAUGAACUCCAGGAAGUGAUGGUUUGCAUCUGUGUGCUGGGCUACCUGAAUGAGAAACACCAUAACAGUUCUGCUGGGUGCCAGAGGGAGAGAGCCUCGGAAGUUGGCCCCAUUAAUCCCCACCCUCCCUCCUUCUCCUUGGUCUGAUGAAGGUCUCACACACAGGCCCACUUUGCCUGCCAUCGACUGCCCUUGCUGUGUGUACCUGUGGGCACACACACCGGCCAGAGAAGAGCCAUGGAAGCUUCCUCGCCCCUUGCUUGCUCUCAGCCUUCUGUGGAUCAGAAAAUCAAAAGCUGUGGAUUCCUUCCAGACUAAUAUGGUUUGAUCAAGCAAGACCCCCUGAAGCUGAGACGAUACAGCCUUACAGACUACAAAAACAAGACUUGGUCAGGUUUCUAUGUUUUAUCAUGAUCCCAAUGGUAUGAACAUCGCCCCAAAUCAGCAGGAAGCAGUUUAGAAAGAACGACGCCCAAAUUCCCAAAUAUUGUUUAUAAAUGUUUGUUUUCAUUUAAAUGGGGUUAGUUAUAAAUGAUAAUGAGCAUAGUCAAUCUCUUUUUAAAGAAAAAAGGGGAAUAGGAUAUAGGAAUGAAUACUUUGCAUUGGUAUAGAUUUUCAUUUAUUGAUACAACUUUAAGGUCAAUUUUAUGAUAUGUAUAUGUCUCCUCUUGUUUAGGUAUUGUGUUUAAACAGAUCUUUUACCUAUAAUAGUCAGAACUUAUAGUUAGGUUAGUUAGGUUUUCUAGAUACAGAGAUGUAUUUGAGAUGGAUAGGUAUUCUUCAAACCUUUCAAAGACCUACAGAAAUAUGGCAUUUAAAUGGUUUAGGGUUUUUCUUGGCAGUGAGACACAACUGCUCCUGGCACACCAAUUACGUCAGAAAGGAGGAUGGGCAUCAAAGAAACUCGUUAUGGAGUUUCCUUUCAACAUGGCAAGAUUAGCCAUUUGAGCAAGAAACUGCUCUUGCCUGGACUGUUUGUUGCUGUAUAAACUGGACAUACAGGACCCACAAGAAAGUGACUGCUGAACUUAGAAAACAAUACAGUACUGAAGGGUUCCUGUUGACAUGCAGAAUCCACAAGAAAGUGAAAUGGAGAAGUGUGCCAGACACACUGUGGCCUAUGGGCUGAAGAUGGGUGCCCCAACGUUACAGAGGAACUGUAGGUAACUGUCCAGGUAGCAGAUGUCUCUGUCAAUUCUAGAGUUUAUAUAUUUUCCUUCUGUGGUCUUUGAUAGAGUUGAAGACAGAUAGUUAUGGUUUUAGUUUUCUUCAGUUAUUAUAAAAGAUAAGUUACCCUUCUUUUUAUUUUAGACAGAAAGAGGAGAUGAUGAGGGAAGUACUUCUGUGUAUGUUUAUCUUAUUGAUUGUUUAAUAAAGUUCUGCUUGGCCAAUGAAACGGCAAGUUAGGCAGGACUAGGAGUCAAAGAGGAUUAAACAGGAAGUAUGCCUCUUUUCCCCUCUGCUCCUCCUCCAGCAGCACAAUGUGAUCCACCAGCAAGGAGGGACGCCAAUAAGGCGUCCGAUAAGAUAAGUCUUAUAAAAUAUAUAGAUUUAUGAUAAUUGAGACUGAGCUAACAGAUGAGGAAUCCUAGUCAUUGACCAAGCAGCUUUGAACCUAAUACAAGUUUCUGUGUAUUCAUUUGGGCCCUACCUCA
RNAcentral lists this long non-coding RNA (1777 nucleotides) under Cricetulus griseus (Chinese hamster). RNAcentral's name for it is "lncRNA (ENSCGRG00015040220.1)". The record is from RNAcentral. Lineage: Eukaryota; Metazoa; Chordata; Mammalia; Rodentia; Cricetidae.